GGGCCCGCACAAGCGGUGGAGUAUGUGGUUUAAUUCGAUGCAACGCGAAGAACCUUACCAGGGUUUGACAUCCUGCGAAUCUCUUGGAAACGAGAGAGUGCCUUCGGGAACGCAGUGACAGGUGGUGCAUGGCUGUCGUCAGCUCGUGUCGUGAGAUGUUGGGUUAAGUCCCGCAACGAGCGCAACCCACGUCUUUAGUUGCCAGCAUUCAGUUGGGCACUCUAGAGAGACCGCCGGUGAUAAACCGGAGGAAGGUGUGGAUGACGUCAAGUCAUCAUGCCCCUUACAUCCUGGGCUACACACGUACUACAAUGCUACGGACAAAGGGCAGCAAACUCGCGAGAGCUAGCAAAUCCCAUAAACCGUGGCUCAGUUCAGAUCGUAGGCUGCAACUCGCCUACGUGAAGUAGGAAUCGCUAGUAAUCG
Molecule: ribosomal RNA, 426 nt
Filed under: uncultured bacterium
Lineage: Bacteria
Description: bacterial SSU rRNA
Rfam family: Bacterial small subunit ribosomal RNA
Source: RNAcentral